This 2019-nucleotide ribosomal RNA is filed under the name hot springs metagenome. Its description in RNAcentral is "bacterial LSU rRNA". It matches the Rfam family "Bacterial large subunit ribosomal RNA", at positions 1 to 1983 of the family's 2925-position model. The record is from RNAcentral.
UGAAGCUACUAAGAGCUUACGGUGAAUGCCUUGGCGAUAAGUGCCGAUGAAGGACGUGGGACACUGCGAUAAGCCUCGAGAAGCUGUGAACAAGCGAUGAUCCGAGGAUUUCCGAAUUGGGAAACCAGCCGUUGCGAACCAACGGCAUCGUAUGCUGAAUAUAUAGGCAUACGAAGGGAACCUGGGGAACUGAAACAUCUAAGUACCCAGAGGAAAAGAAAUAAUUCCCCCAGUAGUGGCGAGCGAAAGGGGAAAAGCCCAAACCGACGAAGUUUACUUUGUCGGGGUUGUAGGGUCUGGCAUAUGAGAGUGAUAAAUUGAGAGGCUAGUAGAAUGGUACGGAAUAGCCAACCAUAGAAGGUGAAAGUCCUGUAAACAAAAGCUGAUCAACUCUCGCUGGAUACCUGAGUACUACCGGGCACGCUAAUCCGGUAGGAAGCUAGGAAGUCCACUUCCUAAGGCUAAAUACACUUAUCGACCGAUAGUGAACUAGUACCGUGAGGGAAAGGUGAAAAGUACCCCUGUUAGGGGAGUGAAAAGAACCUGAAACCGUAAGCUUACAAGCAGUCGAAGGGCUAUGAUAGGUUGGUGCUAUGGUGAAAGCCUGUGCGCACUAUUAUGCCUGACGGCGUGCCUUUUGGAGAAUGAGCCUGCGAGUUAAUUUCUGUGGCAAGGUUAAGGGAGUUACACCCGGAGCCGGAGCGAAAGCGAGUCUGAAUAGGGCGAUAGUCGCAGGGAUUAGACACGAAACCAAGUGAGCUAACCAUGGCCAGGUUGAAGCGGGUCUAAACGCCCGUGGAGGACCGAACCCACUAAUGUUGCAAAAUUAGGGGAUGAGCUGUGGUUAGAGGUGAUAUGCCAAACGAACUUGGAGAUAGCUUGUUCUCCCCGAAAUAGCUUUAGGGCUAGCGUCAAGUAUUAAAUAACGGAGGUAGAGCACUGAAUGGGCUAGGGGGCUCACUGCUUACCAAACCCAAUCAAACUCCGAAUGCCGUUAUUCUAUAGUAUGGCAGUCGGACUCCGGGAGAUGAGUUUCGGGGUCGAAAGGGAAAGAGCCCAGACCAUCGGCUAAGGUCCCCAAAUUCGAGCUAAGUGGGAAACGAUGUGAGGUUACUGAAACAACCAGGAGGUUAGCUUAGAAGCAGCUAUCCUUUAAAGAGUGCGUAAUAGCUCACUGGUCGAGUGAUCUUGCGCGGAAAAUUCAACGGGGCUAAGCUUGGUACCGAAGCCAUGGGUUCUAGAUUUAUCUAGAGCGGUAGGGGAGCGUUCUGUCAGCAGUGAAGGUUGACCGUAAGGACAGCUGGAGCGGACAGAAGUGAGAAUGCAGGCAUGAGUAGCGUAAAACACGUGAGAACCGUGUUCACCGUAUGUCUAAGGUUUCCGACGCCAGGUCGUUCCGCGUCGGGUCAGUCGGGGCCUUAGCCGAGGCCGAGAGGCGUAGGCGAUGGAUAACCGGUCAACAUUCCGGUACCACUUAAAAUGAGCGAUGGAGGGACGCAUCGAGGUAAGCCAGCCAGAGAUUGGUAGUUCUGGUGAACCAUGUGUCAGACGUUGAGACCCGUAGGAAAAUCCGCGGGUUGAGUUGAGACAUGGUUGCGAGUCUAUAAGACGUAAGUGAGCUGACCCUUAGUGCCAAGAAAAGCUUCUAAGUGUUGACGUUUAAGUGCCCGUACCGCAAUCCGACACAGGUAGACGGGUAGAAUAUACCAAGGUGAACGGGAGAACCUUCGUUAAGGAACUCGGCAAUUUAGCCUCGUAACUUCGGGAUAAGAGGUGCCCUUUGACGUGAAAGUUUACUUGAGCGUUGGAGGGUCGCAGUGAAAUGGCUCAAGGGACUGGUUAACAAAACCACAGGUCUCUGCAAAACCGUAAGGUGACGUAUAGGGGCUGACACCUGCCCAGUGCCGGAAGGUUAAAGGGAGAGGUUAGCGCAAGCGAAGCUUUGAACUGAAGCCCCGGUGAACGGCGGCCGUAACUAUAACGGUCCUAAGGUAGCGAAAUUCCUUGUCGGGUAAGUUC